AGAAUCAACGCUGGCGGCGUGCCUAACACAUGCAAGUCGAACGAGAAAGGGUAGCAAUACCUGAGUAAAGUGGCGCACGGGUGAGUAACACGUGACUAACCUACCCUGGAGUGGGGGAUAACUGAGGGAAACCUUAGCUAAUACCGCAUAACACCUACGGGUCAAAGGAGCAAUUCGCUUCAGGAGGGGGUCGCGGCCGAUUAGUUAGUUGGCGGGGUAAUGGCCCACCAAGACAGUGAUCGGUAUCCGGCCUGAGAGGGCGCACGGACACACUGGAACUGAAACACGGUCCAGACUCCUACGGGAGGCAGCAGUGGGGAAUUUGCGCAAUGGGGGAAACCCUGACGCAGCAACGCCGCGUGGAGGAUGAAGUACUUCGGUACGUAAACUCCUUUCGAUCGGACGAUAAUGACGGUACCGGAAGAAGAAGCCCGGCUAACUUCGCGCCAGCAGCCGC
This 457-nucleotide ribosomal RNA is filed under the name uncultured bacterium. RNAcentral's name for it is "SSU rRNA". It matches the Rfam family "Bacterial small subunit ribosomal RNA", at positions 26 to 518 of the family's 1533-position model. The record is from RNAcentral.